Molecule: long non-coding RNA, 637 nt
Organism: Megalobrama amblycephala (Wuchang bream)
Lineage: Eukaryota; Metazoa; Chordata; Actinopteri; Cypriniformes; Xenocyprididae
Exons: 4
Source: RefSeq, a predicted model, not a curated record
UUCAGCUUUAAAAUCCUGUUUUAAUCUUAAAAGCGUGGCAUAGAGAAAUAUCUGAUUACAUUUAACAAAUUACUGUUCAUUUAUCUAAAUAUAUAUCAGCUAGCCAACUGUUGUGAUCCUUGUAUCAUCUUUAGCACCUUUUUUUUUGUGUAAAGACUCCAUACAACCUGUCAUUCUGGUUUACUGUAUACAGUGACCUGGAAUACAAAUCUGUAGACAUGUUCCAUCAAUAUACCUACAGUAAAGUCCACUGGGUGACUGCUCGUUGGAUCGUUGUUGUUUGAUAUUGCUGUGAUCUCAGGUCCCCAAGUCACCAUGAUGAGAGUGGAAGAGCUAUACAUCUGAAGAAAGAGACGCAGACAGAAACAGGAAGAUAUCGAGGGAAAGUGAGGAUAGAGAAAGAGUAAAAGAUAAAGGUCUAGACCAUUCAACACAAAACUUGAUGAAAUCUGUAGGAGGAUCCUGUCUGUCUCUCUCCACUUUCCCACACUGCUGAUAAGGUGAAGGUCUUUAGUUAGAUGACCAUUAAUCUACUAGUCCUGUACCUGAAUCAGGUGGGAUGUAAUCCACACUAAUCAGGGUCUGACACACUCCAGAGUGUCUGAAGCUAAUCCACAUGGACUAAUGACCAUAACAU